GAUGAACGCUGGCGGCGUGCCUAAUACAUGCAAGUCGAGCGAACAGACGAGGAGCUUGCUCCUCUGACGUUAGCGGCGGACGGGUGAGUAACACGUGGGUAACCUACCUAUAAGACUGGGAUAACUUCGGGAAACCGGAGCUAAUACCGGAUAAUAUAUUGAACCGCAUGGUUCAAUAGUGAAAGACGGUUUUGCUGUCACUUAUAGAUGGAUCUGCGCCGCAUUAGCUAGUUGGUAAGGUAACGGCUUACCAAGGCAACGAUGCGUAGCCGACCUGAGAGGGUGAUCGGCCACACUGGAACUGAGACACGGUCCAGACUCCUACGGGAGGCAGCAGUAGGGAAUCUUCCGCAAUGGGCGAAAGCCUGACGGAGCAACGCCGCGUGAGUGAUGAAGGUCUUCGGAUCGUAAAACUCUGUUAUUAGGGAAGAACAAAUGUGUAAGUAACUAUGCACGUCUUGACGGUACCUAAUCAGAAAGCCACGGCUAACUACGUG
RNAcentral lists this ribosomal RNA (497 nucleotides) under uncultured bacterium. Its description in RNAcentral is "partial 16S ribosomal RNA". It matches the Rfam family "Bacterial small subunit ribosomal RNA", at positions 28 to 507 of the family's 1533-position model. The record is from RNAcentral.